UAGCAUAUCAAUAAGCGGAGGAAAAGAAACCAACAGGGAUUGCCCUAGUAACGGCGAGUGAAGCGGCAACAGCUCAAAUUUGAAAUCUGGCCUCACGGUCCGAAUUGUAAUUUGUAGAGGAUGUUUCUGGCGACGUGUCUUCCGAGUUCCCUGGAACGGGACGCCAUAGAGGGUGAGAGCCCCGUCCGGUCGUACACCUAGCCUCUGUGAAACUCCUUCGACGAGUCGAGUAGUUUGGGAAUGCUGCUCUAAAUGGGAGGUAUACGUCUUCUAAAGCUAAAUACCGGCCAGAGACCGAUAGCGCACAAGUAGAGUGAUCGAAAGAUGAAAAGCACUUUGAAAAGAGGGUUAAAUAGUACGUGAAAUUGCUGAAAGGGAAGCGCUUAUGACCAGACUUGGGCUCGGUGAAUCAUCCGGCGUUCUCGCCGGUGCACUUUGCCGUCCCAGGCCAGCAUCAGUUCGCGCCGGGGGAUAAAGGUUUCGGGAAUGUAGCUCCCUCGGGAGUGUUAUAGCCCGUUGCGUAAUACCCUGGCGUGGACUGAGGUCCGCGCUCUGCAAGGAUGCUGGCGUAAUGGUCAUCAGUGACCCGUCUUGAAACACGGACCAAGGAGUCGUCUUCGUAUGCGAGUGUUCGGGUGUCAAACCCCUACGCGUAAUGAAAGUGAACGUAGGAGAGAGCUUCGGCGCAUCUCCGACCGAUCCUGAUGUUCUCGGAUGGAUUUGAGUAAGAGCAUACGGGGCCGGACCCGAAAGAAGGUGAACUAUGCCUGUAUAGGGUGAAGCCAGAGGAAACUCUGGUGGAGGCUCGCAGCGGUUCUGACGUGCAAAUCGAUCGUCAAAUAUGGGCAUGGGGGCGAAAGACUAAUCGAACCUUCUAGUAGCUGGUU
Molecule: ribosomal RNA, 887 nt
Filed under: Acremonium sclerotigenum
Lineage: Eukaryota; Fungi; Ascomycota; Sordariomycetes; Hypocreales; Bionectriaceae
Description: LSU rRNA
Rfam family: Eukaryotic large subunit ribosomal RNA
Source: RNAcentral